CCGUCGCCGCGGUAAUACGUCGGUGGCCAGCGUUGUCCGGAAUUAUUGGGCGUAAAGCGCGCGCCGGCGGAUAGGUCCGUCUGUCUUAAACGUUCGGGGCUUAACCCCGUGAUGGGAUGGAAACUGUCAACCUAGAGUAUCGGAGAGGAAAGUGGAAUUCCUAGUGUAGCGGUGAAAUGCGUAGAUAUUAGGAAGAACACCAGUGGCGAAGGCGACUUUCUGGACGAAAACUGACGCUGAGGCGCGAAAGCCAGGGGAGCGAACGGGAGGAGAUACCCCUGUAGUCCCUGUCUCUUAUACA
This 301-nucleotide ribosomal RNA is filed under the name uncultured bacterium. RNAcentral describes it as "partial 16S ribosomal RNA". It matches the Rfam family "Bacterial small subunit ribosomal RNA", at positions 509 to 809 of the family's 1533-position model. The record is from RNAcentral.